UUCCAUAAAGGGAGGCAUGGAUUUCUAUCUUCAUACUGGUGAUGAAAAAACUCCCAACACACCAUGUAGCUUCCUAUGUUCAAUCAAAGAGUGAAAGAUGGAAAUUCAGUCCAGCAUCCUUCCCAUUUCUGGCUGCAAUAUUCAAUAUAUGCGUGUGGUGAUGAAUUCUGUGAGGAACCACAUUCCCUCCCUUUCUAUAUCCAUCACAAUCAGUGAGGACUUGGCUCCAAAUGGAGGAGAGCAGAUAAAUGUAUCUGAUAAAAGACAGCAAUGCUUCACAUCAGGUGUGUCAGUUUCUUGGCUACAUGGAACACAAUGAAUAAGAAAUGGAAGAGCAAGACCUUGGAGGAUCCAGUUACAAAGUAAGAAAUAAAAAAAU
This is a long non-coding RNA of Passer domesticus (house sparrow), 379 nucleotides long. RefSeq lists it as uncharacterized. Lineage: Eukaryota; Metazoa; Chordata; Aves; Passeriformes; Passeridae. The record is from RefSeq and is a predicted model, not a curated record. The transcript is spliced from 3 exons.